UACGUAGGGGGCUAGCGUUGUCCGGAUUUAUUGGGCGUAAAGCGCGUGUAGGCGGCCAGGUAGGUCCGUUGUGAAAACUCGAGGCUCAACCUCGAGACGUCGGUGGAAACCGUUUGGCUAGAGUCCGGAAGAGGAGAGUGGAAUUCCCGGUGUAGCGGUGAAAUGCGCAGAUAUCGGGAAGAACACCCGUGGCGAGGGCGGCUCUCUGGGACGGUACUGACGCUGAGACGCGAAAGCGUGGGGAGCGAACAGG
RNAcentral lists this ribosomal RNA (253 nucleotides) under uncultured bacterium. RNAcentral's name for it is "partial 16S ribosomal RNA". It matches the Rfam family "Bacterial small subunit ribosomal RNA", at positions 524 to 776 of the family's 1533-position model. The record is from RNAcentral.